GGAGGUAUAGCUCAGUGGUAGAGUGCAUGCUUAGCAUGCAUGAGGUUAUGGGUUCGAUCCCCAGUACCUCCA
Molecule: transfer RNA, 72 nt
Filed under: Vicugna pacos (alpaca)
Lineage: Eukaryota; Metazoa; Chordata; Mammalia; Artiodactyla; Camelidae
Description: tRNA-Ala (AGC) (tRNA-Ala-AGC-817-1)
Rfam family: tRNA
About the family: Transfer RNA (tRNA) molecules are approximately 80 nucleotides in length. Their secondary structure includes four short double-helical elements and three loops (D, anti-codon, and T loops).
Source: Rfam by way of RNAcentral